RNAcentral lists this ribosomal RNA (460 nucleotides) under uncultured bacterium. Its description in RNAcentral is "partial 16S ribosomal RNA". It matches the Rfam family "Bacterial small subunit ribosomal RNA", at positions 338 to 795 of the family's 1533-position model. The record is from RNAcentral.
CCUACGGGUGGCAGCAGUGAGGAAUAUUGGUCAAUGGACGAGAGUCUGAACCAGCCAAGGAGCGUGAAGGAUGACUGCCCUAUGGGUUGUAAACUUCUUUUAUAUGGGAAUAAAAUGUUCCACGUGUGGGAUUUUGUAUGUACCAUAUGAAUAAGGAUCGGCUAACUCCGUGCCAGCAGCCGCGGUAAUACGGAGGAUCCGAGCGUUAUCCGGAUUUAUGGUGUUUAAAGGGAGCGUAGGUGGAUUGGUAAGUCAGUUGUGAAAGUUUGCGGCUCAACCGUAAAAUUGCAGUUGAAACUGGCAGUCUUGAGUACAGUAGAGGUGGGCGGAAUUCGUGGUGUAGCGGUGAAAUGCUUAGAUAUCACGAAGAACUCCGAUUGCGAAGGCAGUUCACUGGACUGCAACUGACACUGAGGCUCGAAAGUGUGGGUAUCAAACAGGAUUAGAUACCCUAGUAGUC